This 600-nucleotide ribosomal RNA is filed under the name Pseudosquilla ciliata. RNAcentral's name for it is "partial 12S ribosomal RNA". The record is from RNAcentral. Lineage: Eukaryota; Metazoa; Arthropoda; Malacostraca; Stomatopoda; Pseudosquillidae.
GAUAUUAUGCUAUUAUAGGUUUGUGAAAUAUAGUUAUUAGGUAUAAGUGAAGAGCAAACAACUAAUAAUAUUAAUUCUCAUGAUCAAUAAAUAUUAAGAAGUCUGGUAAGUUAAGAAUAUAAACCAGGAUCAGAUACCCUGACUAUAUAUAAAUGGAAAUACGUAGUAGACCCGGGUAGUAUUCAGUUAUUAUCUUGUAAGGCCCAAAGAGUGUGGCGGUACCUGCAGGUCUAGUUAUGAGGAGCUAGAUUGCCGUAAUCGAUAAUCCUCACAAUAUCUUACACACUUUAGUAGUCAGUGUAUAUACCGUCGUUGUCAGAUAAUACUUAAAGGUAAAAAAUAAUCAUAAAUAUAAAUAAUUAUAAUAUAUCAGAUCAAGGUGUAACUUAUAAGUGUGAGUUGAAUGAACGACAAUUUAUGUUAUAAAAAUGAAAAUUAAUGUGAAAAUAUAUAAUGGAAGAGUGGAUAUAAUAGUAAUCUUGUUUAUAAUAAGACAAUAAUGAUAAAAGCUCUGAGGUAUGUACACAUCGCCCGUCGCUCUCCCUAUAAAGUGAGAUAAGUCGUAACAUAGUAGGGGUACUGGAAAGUGCCCCUAGAAUG